This is a non-coding RNA of Chiloscyllium plagiosum (whitespotted bambooshark), 226 nucleotides long. The record is from RefSeq and is a predicted model, not a curated record. Lineage: Eukaryota; Metazoa; Chordata; Chondrichthyes; Orectolobiformes; Hemiscylliidae.
CUGCCAUCUGAAGGAAUUGGCUCUCCCAGUCCUCUUAGCUAUCAGAGUAACCAUCAUCUGACUAAAUGGUAUCACUGGCUGAGCACCAUAUAUUGCCCACAAGGAGGUACACAUUGCUGUGUGUAUGGAGUCACUUACAUGUUGGCCUGACCAGUCUCGCCUGAAUAUUAUCCCGGUCUUGUUAUUUGUGGAAAUGGACUGCUUCAGUAUCUGAGAAGUUGCAAAU